AGUGAACGCUGGCGGCGUGCCUAACACAUGCAAGUCGAACGGUAACGCGGGGCAACCUGGCGACGAGUGGCGAACGGGUGAGUAACGCAUCGGAACGUGCCCAAUCGUGGGGGAUAACGUAGAGAAAUUUACGCUAAUACCGCAUGAGAUCUAAGGAUGAAAGCAGGGGAUCGCAAGACCUUGCGCGAUUGGAGCGGCUGAUGUCAGAUUAGGUAGUUGGUGGGGUAAAGGCCCACCAAGCCGACGAUCUGUAGCUGGUUUGAGAGAACGACCAGCCACACUGGGACUGAGACACGGCCCAGACUCCUACGGGAGGCAGCAGUGGGGAAUUUUGGACAAGGGGCGAAAGCCUGAUCCAGCAAUGCCGCGUGCAGGAAGAAGGCCUUCGGGUUGUAAACUGCUUUUGUACGGAACGAAAUAGCUCUGGUUAAUACCCGGAGUUGAUGACGGUACCGUAAGAAUAAGCACCGGCUAACUACGUGCCAGCAGCCGCCGUAA
RNAcentral lists this ribosomal RNA (498 nucleotides) under uncultured bacterium. RNAcentral's name for it is "partial 16S ribosomal RNA". It matches the Rfam family "Bacterial small subunit ribosomal RNA", at positions 29 to 523 of the family's 1533-position model. The record is from RNAcentral.